RNAcentral lists this ribosomal RNA (427 nucleotides) under uncultured bacterium. Its description in RNAcentral is "partial 16S ribosomal RNA". It matches the Rfam family "Bacterial small subunit ribosomal RNA", at positions 355 to 774 of the family's 1533-position model. The record is from RNAcentral.
UGGGGAAUAUUGCACAAUGGGCGCAAGCCUGAUGCAGUCAUGCCGCGUGUAUGAAGAAGGCCUUCGGGUUGUAAAGUACUUUCAGCGAGGAGGAAGGCGAUGCGGUUAAUAACCGUGUCGAUUGACGUUACUCGCAGAAGAAGCACCGGCUAACUCCGUGCCAGCAGCCGCGGUAAUACGGAGGGUGCAAGCGUUAAUCGGAAUUACUGGGCGUAAAGCGCACGCAGGCGGUCUGUCAAGUCGGAUGUGAAAUCCCCGGGCUCAACCUGGGAACUGCAUUCGAAACUGGCAGGCUUGAGUCUUGUAGAGGGGGGUAGAAUUCCAGGUGUAGCGGUGAAAUGCGUAGAGAUCUGGAGGAAUACCGGUGGCGAAGGCGGCCCCCUGGACAAAGACUGACGCUCAGGUGCGAAAGCGUGGGGAGCAAACA